UACGAAGGGGGCGAGCGUUGAUCGGAAUCACUGGGCGUAAAGCGCACGCAGGCGGAUCGAUAAGUCGGGGGUGAAAGCCCGGGGCUCAACCUCGGAAUUGCCUUUGAUACUGUCGGUCUGGAGUCCGGGAGAGGUGAGUGGAAUUCCUAGUGUAGAGGUGAAAUUCGUAGAUAUUAGGAAGAACACCAGUGGCGAAGGCGGCUCACUGGGCCGGUACUGACGCUCAGGUGCGAAAGCGUGGGGAGCAAACAGG
This 253-nucleotide ribosomal RNA is filed under the name uncultured bacterium. Its description in RNAcentral is "partial 16S ribosomal RNA". It matches the Rfam family "Bacterial small subunit ribosomal RNA", at positions 524 to 776 of the family's 1533-position model. The record is from RNAcentral.